UUAGUGGCAUGUCCUGGACCCGAAGCGGGGUGAUCUACCCAUGGCCAGUGUGAAGCAGCUGUAAGAGGUUGUGGAGGCGCGAACCCACUUAGGUUGAAAACUGAGGGGAUGAGUUGUGGGUAGGGGUGAAAGGCCAAUCAAACUCCGUGAUAGCUGGUUCUCCCCGAAAUGCAUUUAGGUGCAGCGUUGUAGUAACUUGCCGGAGGUAGAGCUACUGGUUGGUUGAGCGGGACUAUCAUCUUAGCAAUGUCAGCCAAACUCCGAAUGCCGGUUUAAGUGUUCUAUGGCAGUGAGACUGUGGGGGAUAAGCUUCAUAGUCGAGAGGGAAACAGCCCAGAUCGCCGGUUAAGGCCCCUAAGGGUGUACUAAGUGGAAAAGGAUGUGGGAUCGCGAAGACAGCCAGGAGGUUGGCUUAGAAGCAGCCAUCCUUGAAAGAGUGCGUAAUAGCUCACUGGUCGAGUGGUUCUGCGCCGACAAUUCAGUGGGGCUCAAGUACACCGCCGAAGCCGCGGCACACUUUUUAGUGUGGGUAGGGGAGCGUCGUGUAUGGGGUGAAGCAAUACUGUAAGGGGUUGUGGACUGUACACGAGUGAGAAUGCAGGCAUGAGUAACGAGUGAUAAGUGAGAAUCUUAUCCGCCGGAUGACUAAGGGUUCCUGGGUCAAGUUCGUCUUCCCAGGGUGAGUCGGGUCCUAAGGCGAGGCCGACAGGCGUAGUCGAUGGUUAACGGGUUGAUAUUCCCGUACCCGUGUAUAUGCGCCCAAGGGUGAAUCGGUGAUACUAACCACCCUGACCGCACCAUAUGAUGAUCCCUUCGGGGGUUGAUCGGUGGUGUGUGAUGCGUGGGGCCUAAACCGUAGUAGCCCAGUGAUGGGGUGACGCAGUGAGGUAGCCUAGCCACUUAUUGGAUUGUGGUGUAAGCGUGUGGCACGACGAUGAGUGAAAUGCUUGUUGUCACAAAGUGUGAGGCGUGAUGCGUAGCCCCUUAAGGGGUGAUGUAGGUGAUCCUGUACUGCCGAGAAAAGCCUCUAGCGAGUGUGUACACGGCCCGUACCCGAAACCGA
Molecule: ribosomal RNA, 1063 nt
Filed under: Corynebacterium sanguinis
Lineage: Bacteria; Bacillati; Actinomycetota; Actinomycetes; Mycobacteriales; Corynebacteriaceae
Description: partial 23S ribosomal RNA
Rfam family: Bacterial large subunit ribosomal RNA
Source: RNAcentral